Ipomoea triloba (trilobed morning glory) is the source of this 1159-nucleotide long non-coding RNA. RefSeq lists it as uncharacterized. The transcript is spliced from 3 exons. NCBI's taxonomy places the organism in Eukaryota, Viridiplantae, Streptophyta, Magnoliopsida, Solanales, Convolvulaceae. The record is from RefSeq and is a predicted model, not a curated record.
UCUUUUUCGAAAUUUUAGGCUUUUUUUUUUUCGAAAGUAUUGGGAUUUUAUUUAUUUAUUUAUUUUAUAUUGACUGUAUAUAGUCCAUGCAUUUUGCACAACCAACGUUCAAUCCAUAUUCAAUGUAGACAUACAACAUUACAAUCCGUAUUUUCACUCUAUAAUUUAACGACUUAAGCAACUCUUUUUCUUACCCAACUCAUCAGCAACUAACAUGGGCGUGAGGAGCUCAUAUCGGCUGCAAAAUCUGCAUAUAAUGACUCUCCCUCCCGUCCAACACUACCGCCAAAUGGCUCCUCAGAUCUGCGGGCUCUGCUCAAUAUCGCCGAGGAUUACGGCCUGCUCUUCCUCUUCUCUUCUCUAGAAGCCGCAGCUGAGAGCUACAAAUUAUGCGGAACUACAACGAGCUUCAGUUAAGUAAAAAUUCGCGAUUAAGGUAUUCUCCUGAGACAGUAAAAAGACUUAAUGGUGAGCAAAUGAUGAGAGGUUUGUUGAAUAACAUAAUUGAAACAUGCAAGAGGUGGAUGGCUAAAGAUUGGGAGGUAACCAUUAAACAUGUAUAUCGAGAACAAAAUCACAUAGCGGAUAAUCUGGCCAAGCUUGCGUGCCAAAGGGAAGAUAGAUGGAGCUGCUUAAGAGAACCUCCUGCUGUUAUUUUGAGAAAUAUAGAGGAAGACACCCUGGGCAUCCCUAGUGUGCGUUGUGGUGUUAGAGUAUACUAAGUUCUCUUGUUUUGGGGUUAUCCCUCCGUAUAAUCCAAAAAAAAUUCGCGAUUAAGGUCCUUAUUGGACCUCUCCGCAAAUUAUGCCCUGGACCCAGGUCCACCUUGCAAGGUGGACCUGGGUCCAAAACGACAUCGUUUUAUGCGUUUUAAAAUUUUUUUUUGAUAAUUAACGCCGUUAACGGAGCUUGGGAGCAGCAGGCAGUUGCCCGAUUCUCACAAAACAAUUAGCGCUUUUCAUUCGAUUCACCAUCAUCUUGCAAUUCUUCACUCAUUGCAAUUCUUCACUCAUUCAUCAUCGCAAUUCUCGUUCGAUUCAUCAUCGCAAUUCUCCUCUGAUUCAUCAUCGCGAUUUUAAUUCGAUUCACCAUCGUAAUUCUUUGCAAUUCUUCUUCAAUGAUGGCAGAGGCAGAUGAACUAAGUUUGCACGUUGAUUCU